This 403-nucleotide ribosomal RNA is filed under the name uncultured bacterium. RNAcentral's name for it is "partial 16S ribosomal RNA". It matches the Rfam family "Bacterial small subunit ribosomal RNA", at positions 30 to 526 of the family's 1533-position model. The record is from RNAcentral.
AUUGAACGCUGGCGGCAGGCCUAACACAUGCAAGUCGAACGCAGUGGGGACGGGUGAGUAACACGUUGGUAACCUCCCAUCAGAGGGGAUAACACUUGGAACCAGGUGCUAAACCGAUACUGAUGGAUGGACCAGCGGUGCAUUAGCUAGUUGGUGAGGUAACGGCUCACCAGGGCCACGAGGCAUAGCCGACCUGAGAGAGUGACCGGCAAACCUGGGACUGGCACACGACCCAGACGCCAACGGGAGCAGGCAGGGGGAAAUCUUCGGCAUUGGACGAAAGUCGGACCGAGCACCGCCGCGGGGUGGAGGAAGUUUUUCGGAUCUUAAACCUCUGUUGUUAGAGAGGCGGUAUCUAACCAGAAAGCCACGGCUAACUACGUGCCAGCCGCCGCGGUAAUAC